CCACCUGAAUAUGGAAGAUGAGGUUGACAUCAUUUACUUGGACUUUAGGAAGGCCUUUGGCUUGGUGUCCCACAAAGCUCUCAAGAGGGUGGUAGAUGAUCAGUGGCUUUCCAUUGGUCUAAAAGAAGAAACAUCUGUUGCAGUCAUAAAAGACUUUGGUGAUCAAGUUUAAACACAUCCUGCGCUAGCAAUGCCUGAGAUCUAAUGACUGGAAAUUACAGAGGGAUCACUUUGCUGUCCACCACAGGAAAGUUCAUUGUGAGAACCCUCCUGAACCAUCUCCUUCCACUUGCUGAAGAGCUUCUCCUGGAAUCUCACUGUGGGUUUAGGGCAUCAAGAGGCACAACUGACAUGAUCUUCACUGCUUGCCAGCUGUAGCAAAAAUCCUAGGAACAACAUAAACCUCUGUAUGUGGCUUUCUUUGACCUCAUGAAAGCCUUCAGUUGUCGACCAAGAAGCACUGUGAAGGAUCCUUCUGAAGUACCGAUAUCCACCAGAAUUCAUCACCAUUCUUUGCCUGCUUCAUGAUGGUAUGUGAGUGAUGGUUCUCAAUGACAGAUCUAUCACAGACCCCUUUGAUGGAAGUUAAGCAAGGCUGUGUCAUUGCUCCAACACUCUCCUCUUGAUAUUCCUUACUGUGCUACUACAAGCUUCCAGUUGGAAUUGAACUAAACUACCGAAUGAAUGGUAAACUGUUUAAUUUCAGCUGACUCUGAGCCAAAACCAAGUCCACCUCAAACUCAAUCAUCGAGCUCCAGUACACUGAUAAUGUUGUAGUGUAUUCUCACUCAGAAGCAGACCAUCAGCAAAGAAUUGACAUCUUUACUGAGGCAUACAAGAAAAUGGGACUGAUGCUUAACAUUCAGAAGAGUAAGGUCCUCCAUCAACAAGCUCCAGUAAUUCAGAUUCACAAUGCGUGCAUAUACAUGAGAUGCUACAGUGCAGUAGCUCAUUGCUACAGCACCAUAGCAUUGCCAGGCACGAACCACAAUGGUGACACUACUGUGCAGUAGGAAUGAGCUGCUGCAUAAUAGUUCAUUGCUACUACACAGUAGCAUCUAAAAAAGUGCAAUGAUGGUACUGUGCAGUAAUGCUGGUUACUGCACAGUCAUUUAGUACUUGAUUAAGGAAGUACUAAACGACUGCACAGUAACAACUACACAGUCUGCCAUUAGUGUAGACGCGACCAAUGAGACUCUUGAGAACACUGACUAUUUCCCAUACCUCAGAAACCAUCUCUUGCAGAAGGUUGACAUUGAUGAAGAAAUCCAACAUUGCCACAGAUGUGCAAGUGCAGCCUUCACACACAUGAGGAAAUGGGUGUUUGAAGAUCAUGACAUCAGAGCUGAAACCAAACUCAUGGUUUAUCAAGCAGUUCUGAUCCCCACCCACCUUACUGUACUGAGCUGAGACAGACAGUAUACAGGAAACACCUCAAAUUGCUGGAGAAGUACUAUCAAUGCUGCUUGCAGAAGAUUCUUCAAAUCCAGUGGGUAGACAGACACACCAACAUUAGCGUCCUCUCUUCCGGAGGCUGAAGAGAUCUAGGGCCCUCAAUCUCUCCUUGUAGGGCUUUGCCUGCACGUCCUUAACCAUAUGACUGACUGUCUUCUGAACCCUCUCGAGGGUUCAGGGGUGAAUCUUGAAUGAUUCGCCUGUGCCCCUACUCCAUUCCCUCCUGCACUGUGUGGGGGUCUCUUCCCCCCUCCCCCCCCACCCUGCAAGCCCAGGGGUCAUAAAGAAAGCAGAUUAAAAGAAACUUCCCUGCCUGCUGAGCCGGCUGUGAUCCUGGCUGUGCAGGGUAUCUGAGUGUGUGUGCCCCUCCACCUCUGCAGCAGCAGCCUGUGGCCAGGCUGCCCUCUGGUCAUACCUACUGCCCUGCAUUUGGCGGGACUGAGUCCCACUAGCACCCUCCCUCCUGCUGCCUAUGAGGGCAGAGAAAGUGCUUCAAGGACAUCCUCAUGGACAACUUGAAAAAACGUAAGAUCAAUACCAACUUGUGAGAGGCUAUUGCCCAUGACUACCCCAAAUGGAGAAAGUCUGCUUCAAGGAUCUCAGUACUUUGAAAACUUAUGAUGACAACAGGAGAUGGAAAAAUGGAAACGGCACAACAAGUGCAUCAUGGACCAAAGCAAGAACCCAGAGCUACCCACCCUGCAUGGAAACGUGUGCCCGAGUUACAACAGAGUCUAUCAAUCCUGGAUAGGCCUCAUCAGCCAUCUUCAGACCCACAGAUAAGACGAUCAUGGAAGACAAUCAACCUCAACUGUGAAGGAUUGCUGAUGGUGAUUUCAUAGCCUUGGAAAGCUAUUUUCAACACCAUAGAUCCACUCUUGGAAACCUUCAGUAACAGCUAAGGUUUUAAUAUUAGUUAAGUAGGAAAGGGAGGAUAAAUCAGCUGAAGAUUAGGAAAUCUUUUUUCCUUCAUUUUGCUUUUCAAAAACCAAGGUGUGCAUUAUAUUUAUGGGUGUGGUGUAUGUGAGAAAAUAUGGUAUUCCCAUUAUAAAUCAUUGUAUUGCUAUAGUCAUGCACUACUUCCCUUACAAAACUGAGCAGUUCUAAAAAAAUAAAAAUCAUUAAGAUGUGAAACUAGAUGCUUAGUAAUCAUCUUAGUGGGGCAGAUUAUAACAUUCUUGCUCCCCAAGUAUAAUGUCCUAUAUUUGUUAUUAAUAUUUUUAUAACUUAGAUAUAAUAAAUACAUUUAAAAUAUUUUGACAGCAUUGGCUAGGUACAGACUUUACACAUAUUGUGCAUUAAGCAGGCAGAAAGUGCUCUAAAGUCAUAACUGAAUAGAUGUUCACAGCUCUUAGAGCACUUAAAACAGGGCAGAUCACACUCUAAAUUAAUCCUUGAUGGAUGUGUACUAAGCUAAAGCACUUUCUGCUAGAGCAUUUUAACAAAUGUCUGUACCAGAUCCCAUCAAAGGUUAACUUAGAGCACAACUGCUUUCAUCCCAGGCCACAUUGCACAGGGCUGUGCUCUAGCCUUGGGCAGAGCUUGUUUGCUCUGCCUGAGCCUGGGCUGGCCCCAUCCCAUUGGCCCUAAUCAAUGACAAACUCUGAUCUCAGCCCAGUGUGCAGCCUGGUAUGGGAUGGGGUGGGGAAAGGGAGUUUCUGUCCCCACAGCCUCCUCAGCCCCAUGGCACAGCCUGACUGGGAGGCUGUGGGGGAGGGCUCUGGGGUCUCUAUCCCCCCAGCUGCCCCUACUGGGCUGUGCCACAGCAGAACCCAGAUGGAGUGCCAUGGGGGUCACUCCCUGCCACAGCAGUCCCAGCUAGGCAGCUUCAUAGAUUCAUAAAUUGUAAGACUGGAAGGGACCUUGGAAAAUCAUUGGGUCCAGCCCCAAUGGCCAGCCCCCAGUGGCUCAGGGGGCUGUAAGAGAAGGGCUCCAGGGGUCUUCCCCCCGCCGCCCCCUCCGCCCCAGCUGCUGCUGACAGUCACCAGCUGGCAGCACGGGUGGGGGGCUAGGGAGAAGGGCCACUCCAGCAGCCUCCUGGGAGGUGUGUGGGCAGGCUCUGAGCCCUGCCCCACCCCCCACUGAACAGCAAACAUCUGUUUGGUUCACUUGUGUUCGAAGUUAUAGAGCAUUAAGUAAAGCGUGAUAGAGCACUUCUGCUAGGGGCUUUUUGAACAUCUGUACUUAGCUAUUUAUUUGAAAUACAGACAGCUCUCAUAUUGGUGUACCAGCCAGUGAGACAUUAAUAUUUCAAUUAGGGUAUGUGCUUCAGAAUCUCAUGAAGAAUCCUACAAGCACAUGGAACAAACUUUACUGGCACGGUUCCAAUGAGGCCACUCAGUUCAAUUACUUGUGAACACAUGUAUUUGCAGAAACAGGCUCAACAUGUUCUCACCAGGGACUUAGGAAGGUCAAACAACACUAUAACCCACAUCAAUAUAAAACAUUAUGCAACUCAGCACUAUAAGGUGACAACCAGUAUUGUCUUAGUGAAAAUUUAAGAACAUCACAAACUAAAGCAUAGUUCUUACAGAACAUAUACAAAACACCUAAAACUCUUAAGCCUAAUCUAGUUUAGAAAAGGUUUGAUGCCAUAGCUUUACAAAUACUCUUGUGCGCGGCUUAAAUUUAGACCAGUUUUCUGAAAAAUAUAAGCUAUAUCAGCAAAAACACUUUUCACUAGUAUAAGUGCACCUACACUAGGGCUUUAACUAAUAUAACAAUGUUCCUAAAAACUACCAUUUGCAAACCUACAAAGGUUUAAGUGGCCUUAGCUGCCUUUACUUACCGCAGUGAUAAAUUUGGCCCUUUUUGUUUCUUGACAUACAUAUUACAUGUAACAGAUAAGCAUAGAAUUUCUAUUUGUGAAAAAGAUCACUCAGCUUUAAUGCUCAGAACAGUUACCACAUUUAAUUUUUUUUUCAAUUGUCCUGUUAUGUCAGACAGAUGGGCUUGUGUAUUUUUAAAGUCCAAUAAAUGAAUGUAAAUUAAUUAACAGGAAUAUAACAAUAUAUUGAAAGCCACAGAAUUGUAUUACAAAUUGCAAGAAGUUGUUCCUAAAAAGAAGUAAAGAGACAGGAAGAGUUAGGUGAGUUGCAUUACUGAGCUUGCUAGUCCUAACUGUAUUAGUUUUCAACCAAUGGCUAACAUGGUUUCUAGAUGAAGUCACACAUUGAAUGCAUAUUACUACAUUGCACAAUAACAUAUGAUAAGCUUGGAGAAUGUGAUGUGUAGGUGUUUUUAAUCCAAGAGAACUUGACCUCUAGUUACCUUGGCUUGUUGAUCAUUUAUUUACACACAAUCUUGUUUUCAAGUACAUGCUGGUAGUUCUACAUUAGUAUGGCUUAGGUGUACUCAGUGAUUUUAUUGUCUCCUAAUGGUUUAUUAAUAAUUAUCAUCGUUGUCUGUGUGCUUAAAUUCUAGCAUUUGAGAUUCUUGUCAAACAGUCCCUAGCCCUUUCAAAGUAAAAAAGCAAGAGGUGGCUCAGCAGCAACAGGUGAAAGAUGAUACAUCUUAAGCAGCAAACUAGUAUCAAGAUGGCCAGAACCCAGUUCCCAUAACUGAAAUGUUUACUUCCUGCUUUCUCAUUCUGAGGUAUGUCUACAUUGAGAAAACAUACCAAAGGCAUGCAGAUACCAAUAAGUUCAUUGCAUGCGACCUUCUCCCAACCACAUUGUUUAUUGUACCACUUUACAAGCCACCAACAGUAUGCUUCUUGGAACUUGUGUUUGAUUCUAAAAUGUAUUCUAGAUUUCCUUGUGCAAUUGACUCGAAGAGCUGGAUUGGGAACAACAUGAAUGCUGUCUUGCCACUUUCAAAUCAAAUAUGCUAUCAAAAAGCAUGCUUCCAACAUGAUCCAAACUACAUGGGCUGAGGUUGGUGGUUAACAGUGAUCAGUUCAACUCCAUGUAAACUAGUUUGUGCCAGUUUCAAGAAAUAAAAAGAAUGUAUUGUGACAUGUUGCCUGAUGGAGAAACUGUACAACAAAGAGAACAAGAAAAUAAACUACAUUUGAUUCAUGAGA
Molecule: long non-coding RNA, 5479 nt
Organism: Alligator mississippiensis (American alligator)
Lineage: Eukaryota; Metazoa; Chordata; Crocodylia; Alligatoridae
Exons: 3
Source: RefSeq, a predicted model, not a curated record